RNAcentral lists this ribosomal RNA (321 nucleotides) under Triticum aestivum (bread wheat). RNAcentral describes it as "partial small subunit ribosomal RNA". The record is from RNAcentral. Lineage: Eukaryota; Viridiplantae; Streptophyta; Magnoliopsida; Poales; Poaceae.
AUGGUGGUGCGUCGCGCUCGGGCCCAUGACAAGCGCGUGGCCGACUCAACCCUUGGCCUUCGUCGUAGCAGCCGUCUUGCAGGCAAGGAAGGGCCUGCCUUCCUGGACAUGACGACCAAGGCAAUCCGCGCGCGCGCUCGCAAGUUCGACCUGUCCUCCACCUCUACUGGUCUCGCUGAGGCCAUUGAUGCGGCUGGCCUGGCCGACUCCUCUGAGGUGCCAUCCGAGGGUACGGCGGCUCUGUCGCUCAUUGCUCUGCAGUGCGGCGCUACUGCAGACGACGUGCGUGAGAUCACCGCGGUGAUAUCCCCUGAGCCAUGA